AGUGAACGCUGGCGGCGUGCUUAACACAUGCAAGUCGAACGAGAACGGGUUAUAGCUUGCUAUAAUUGUCAGCUAAGUGGCGCACGGGUGAGUAAUGUAUAGGUAAUAUGCCUCUUACUAAGGGAUAACAAAUGGAAACGUUUGCUAAUACCUUAUACUCCUUAUUAACAUAAGUUAAUAAGGGAAAGAUUUAUUGGUAAGAGAUUAGCCUGUAUUGUAUCAGUUAGUUGGUGGGGUAAUGGCUUACCAAGACUAUGACACAUAACUGGUUUGAGAGGAUGAUCAGUCACACUGGAACUGAGACACGGUCCAGACUCCUACGGGAGGCAGCAGUGGGGAAUAUUGCACAAUGGACGAAAGUCUGAUGCAGCAACGCCGCGUGGAGGAUGACACAUUUCGGUGCGUAAACUCCUUUUAUAUGAGAAGAUAAUGACGGUACCGUAAGAAUAAGCACCGGCUAACUACGUGCCAGCCGCCGCCGUAA
This 484-nucleotide ribosomal RNA is filed under the name uncultured bacterium. RNAcentral describes it as "partial 16S ribosomal RNA". It matches the Rfam family "Bacterial small subunit ribosomal RNA", at positions 29 to 523 of the family's 1533-position model. The record is from RNAcentral.